CAGCAGCCGCGGGAAUACGAAGGGGGCUAGCGUUGUUCGGAUUUACUGGGCGUAAAGCGCACGUAGGCGGAUCGAUCAGUCAGGGGUGAAAUCCCAGAGCUCAACUCUGGAACUGCCUUUGAUACUGUCGAUCUGGAGUAUGGAAGAGGUGAGUGGAAUUCCGAGUGUAGAGGUGAAAUUCGUAGAUAUUCGGAGGAACACCAGUGGCGAAGGCGGCUCACUGGUCCAUUACUGACGCUGAGGUGCGAAAGCGUGGGGAGCAAACAGGAUUAGAUACCCCCGUAGUCCCUGUCUCUUAUAC
Molecule: ribosomal RNA, 301 nt
Filed under: uncultured bacterium
Lineage: Bacteria
Description: partial 16S ribosomal RNA
Rfam family: Bacterial small subunit ribosomal RNA
Source: RNAcentral